RNAcentral lists this ribosomal RNA (342 nucleotides) under uncultured bacterium. RNAcentral's name for it is "bacterial SSU rRNA". It matches the Rfam family "Bacterial small subunit ribosomal RNA", at positions 457 to 793 of the family's 1533-position model. The record is from RNAcentral.
UAGCAUAUUCAUUUGACGUUAGCUGCAGAAGAAGCACCGGCUAACUCCGUGCCAGCAGCCGCGGUAAGUACGGAGGGUGCGAGCGUUAAUCGGAAUUACUGGGCGUAAAGCGCAUGCAGGUGGUUUAGUUAAGUCAGAUGUAGAAACGGCCCGGGGCUCAACCUCGGAAUUGCAUUUGAAACUGGACAAACUAGAGUACUGUAGAGGGGGUAGAAUUUCAGGUGUAGCGGUGAAAUGCGUAGAGAUCUGAAGGAAUACCGGUGGCGAAGGCGGCCCCCUGGACAGAUACUGACACUCAGAUGCGAAAGCGUGGGGAGCAAACAGGAUUAGAUACCCUGGUAG